Molecule: transfer RNA, 76 nt
Filed under: Pelolinea submarina
Lineage: Bacteria; Bacillati; Chloroflexota; Anaerolineae; Anaerolineales; Anaerolineaceae
Description: tRNA-Ala
Rfam family: tRNA
About the family: Transfer RNA (tRNA) molecules are approximately 80 nucleotides in length. Their secondary structure includes four short double-helical elements and three loops (D, anti-codon, and T loops). Further hydrogen bonds mediate the characteristic L-shaped molecular structure. tRNAs have two regions of fundamental functional importance: the anti-codon, which is responsible for specific mRNA codon recognition, and the 3' end, to which the tRNAs corresponding amino acid is attached (by aminoacyl-tRNA synthetases). tRNAs cope with the degeneracy of the genetic code in two manners: having more than one tRNA (with a specific anti-codon) for a particular amino acid; and 'wobble' base-pairing, i.e. permitting non-standard base-pairing at the 3rd anti-codon position.
Source: RNAcentral
GGGGAUGUAGCUCAGCUGGGAGAGCGCUGCCUUUGCAAGGCAGAAGUCAGGGGUUCGAGUCCCCUCAUCUCCAUCA